This 1102-nucleotide long non-coding RNA is filed under the name Pan troglodytes (chimpanzee). RNAcentral describes it as "long non-coding RNA NONPTRT007651". Lineage: Eukaryota; Metazoa; Chordata; Mammalia; Primates; Hominidae. The record is from RNAcentral.
AGACCAUGUCUGAAUAGAUACCUGAGAGUUAGACCCAUGUGCUGGGUCUGGGUGAGGCUGUGUGUAGAUCACAGCAGCGUGAGCACUGGCUGUACCUUUGCCCUGUCCUGCUGCUCUUCCUGUCUGCUGUGUCAGGACACUGAGCAGAAGUGGCGGUGGAAUGCACACAGCACAGCGUGUCACAGUGCGCAUGGGCUCCCCACUGGAAGGGAUGUAGCAUUGUUUUUCUUUCGUAAUGGAGAGAAGAGGGGAAGAAAAGGCCCAGGCACUGGUUCUCCAACUCUUGUACAUCCGGUCACUGUCCUGAGAUUCAGAAGGUCUGGGAUGUUCUGAGAAUUUGCAUUUCUGACAAGUUUGCAGAGAGUAAUGCUGAUGCUGCUGGUUCAGGGACCCACUCGGAGAGUCAGUGGCCUGGAGCACUGGAGGGCUCCGUGGAGCUGGGAGGGUGGAGGGAUGACGGCCUCGGGGUGGCACAAGGAGGUGCCGGGUGAAGAGGAGGUGCCAGAGGCAGGAUGGAGCAGCUCACAGUGGUACCUGGGAUGGCCCCGUGGCUUCUGCCAAGCCAAAUUCUCCUGUUUCAUAAGAAUUGCUCACUGCAUUUGUUUGUAGAAGUCAACAUUAAUUAAUCUUCUCAACUGAAAUGAAAAUACUUUAUGGGAAUACACUGAGAACCCCCCGCCCCCGCCUGCCAGCACAUCAGAUGGAUUGAAGCAUUUGAAGGCAGAAUAUAGUUCACAGAAAAAGCAAACCUAAUUAUAACCUAAAGAUCAUACAUCAGGACAGAAAGUGAUGAUGUGGCCAGUGCAGCGGUCCUGAUACCCCAGCGAGGACUUCGGGGCCAGGUGGGUCUUGCUCCCUUCCUCCUGGACCCAGAGGAUGGUCUGCAGGGGAGCAGAGGAACUGGGAUGGAAGUGAAGCCAGUGCCUGGCCAGAGGGAGAGGGGCCACAGGUGCAGAUCAUGAGAGUGUCUGGAGACUCCAGAAGUAGAGUUGAUUCUACCCCACACCCACCUGGCACCUUGUCUCAAAGACAACAACAACAAACAACAAAAAGGUCUUUGUCUCCCGAGGUUAGGAUGGCUAUGUCUGACUUGGGGUUUUUG